GUGAGGAAUAUUGCACAAUGGGCGCAAGCCUGAUGCAGCGACGCCGCGUGGGUGAAGAAGGUCUUCGGAUCGUAAAACCCUUUUCUGCGUGACGAGCAAGGACGGUAGCGCAGGAAGAAGUCUCGGCUAACUACGUGCCAGCAGCCGCGGUAAAACGUAGGAGACGAGCGUUAUCCGGAGUUACUGGGCGUAAAGCGCGUGUAGGUGGUUUUUUACGUCUGCUGUGAAAGCGCACGGCUCAACCGGGCGUAGGCGGCGGCUACGGGAAGACUAGAGGGUGACAGAGGAGCGUAGAAUUCCGGGUGUAGUGGUGAAAUGCGUAGAGAUCCGGAGGAAUACCAGUGGCGCAAGCGGCGCUCUGGGUCGCACCUGACACUGAGACGCGAAGGCAUGGGGAGCGAACGGGAUUAGAAACCCGGGUAGUCC
Molecule: ribosomal RNA, 426 nt
Filed under: uncultured bacterium
Lineage: Bacteria
Description: bacterial SSU rRNA
Rfam family: Bacterial small subunit ribosomal RNA
Source: RNAcentral